AUACGGAGGGUGCAAGCGUUAUUCGGAAUCACUGGGCGUAAAGGACGCGUAGGCGGGUUGGCAAGUCAGAUGGGAAAUCCUACAGCUUAACUGUAGAACUGCAUUUGAAACUGCUAACCUAGAGUAUGGGAGGGGGAGAUGGAAUUAGUGGUGUAGGGGUAAAAUCCGUAGAUAUCACUAGGAAUACCGAAAGCGAAGGCGAUCUCCUGGAACAUAACUGACGCUAAGGCGUGAAAGCGUGGGGAGCAAACAGGAUUAGAUACCCUAGUAGUCC
RNAcentral lists this ribosomal RNA (274 nucleotides) under uncultured bacterium. RNAcentral describes it as "partial 16S ribosomal RNA". It matches the Rfam family "Bacterial small subunit ribosomal RNA", at positions 523 to 796 of the family's 1533-position model. The record is from RNAcentral.